This 379-nucleotide unclassified non-coding RNA is filed under the name uncultured Bacteriovoracaceae bacterium. RNAcentral's name for it is "contains 16S-23S intergenic spacer region". Lineage: Bacteria; Pseudomonadati; Bdellovibrionota; Bacteriovoracia; Bacteriovoracales; Bacteriovoracaceae. The record is from RNAcentral.
UCCUGGUUAACCCAGGCAGUCUCAUUAGAGUGCCCAACUUAAUGCUGGCAACUAAUGAUAGGGGUUGCGCUCGUUGCGAGACUUAACCCAACAUUUCACAACACGAGCUGACGACAGCCAUGCAGCGCCUCUCAUCCCAUUCUCCGAAGAGCACUCCCCUAUCUCUAGGGGAUUCGGGAGAGUUCAAGCCCAGGUAAGGUUCUGCGCGUUGCUUCGAAUUAAACCACAUGAUCCACCGCUUGUGCGGGCCCCCGUCAAUUCCUUUGAGUUUUAGUCUUGCGACCGUACUCCCCAGGCGGAGCACUUAAUGCGUUAGCUGCGACACGGCAGGGGUUAAUACCCACCAUAUCUAGUGCUCAUCGUUUACGGCGUGGACUAC